Molecule: ribosomal RNA, 253 nt
Filed under: uncultured bacterium
Lineage: Bacteria
Description: partial 16S ribosomal RNA
Rfam family: Bacterial small subunit ribosomal RNA
Source: RNAcentral
UACGUAGGGGGCAAGCGUUGUCCGGAUUUAUUGGGCGUAAAGAGCGUGUAGGCGGCCUUACAGGUCAGCUGUGAAAACUCGAGGCUCAACCUCGAGACGUCGGUUGAAACCGUAUGGCUAGAGUCCGGAAGAGGAGAGUGGAAUUCCCGGUGUAGCGGUGAAAUGCGUAGAUAUCAGGAGGAACACCGGUGGCGAAGGCGGCCCUCUGGACGGAUACUGACGCUGAGGCGCGAAAGCGUGGGGAUCAAACAGG